This 528-nucleotide ribosomal RNA is filed under the name uncultured bacterium. RNAcentral's name for it is "bacterial SSU rRNA". It matches the Rfam family "Bacterial small subunit ribosomal RNA", at positions 8 to 527 of the family's 1533-position model. The record is from RNAcentral.
AGAGUUUGAUCAUGGCUCAGGAUGAACGCUAGCGGCAGGCUUAAUACAUGCAAGUCGAGGGGCAGCAUGACUGUAGCAAUACAGUUGAUGGCGACCGGCAAACGGGUGCGGAACACGUACACAACCUUCCUUUAAGUGGGGAAUAGCCCAGAGAAAUUUGGAUUAAUACCCCGUAACAUUAUGAUGUGGCAUCACAUUAUAAUUAAAGCUCCGGCGCUUAAUGAUGGGUGUGCGGCUGAUUAGAUAGUUGGCGGGGUAACGGCCCACCAAGUCUACGAUCAGUAACUGGUGUGAGAGCACGACCAGUCACACGGGCACUGAGACACGGGCCCGACUCCUACGGGAGGCAGCAGUAAGGAAUAUUGGUCAAUGGACGCAAGUCUGAACCAGCCAUGCCGCGUGGAGGAUGAAGGCCCUCUGGGUUGUAAACUUCUUUUAUAUGGGACGAAAAAGGGUCUUUCUAGAUCAACUGACGGUACCAUUUGAAUAAGCACCGGCUAACUCCGUGCCAGCAGCCGCGGUAAUACA